UUCCUUAGCCUCUCUGAGCCUUAGUAUUCUCAUCUGUGAAUGGAAAGGGUAAACUUCAUGUUGUGGGCUUGCUGUCUCUCAUGAAUAUUACAUGGAAAAUGUUUAGCACAGUUUCUUACAAGUAAAAAGCCCUCAACAUUUGGGGGACUAUUGUUAUUAUGAUAAACAUGGUAACAAUUUCAAACUCUGAUUUAUAACGUUACUUCUAUUAAAAACACUUUGCAGAUUCCAACCGACAAUCUUGCAGGUCAAAUUUGGAUCCAACUUGUUAUCGAGCCGUGGACUGCUUCUUCCCCCAGAAUGGAGAAGGGGCUCGCCUUCCAUCACAGAAGCAUUCACAGGUGACAGCAGGAAGGGGAACAAACACACUUGACUUUCUUGUCUGUGCCUUAGAAUUGUGUCGAGCAGCUGAGCACAGUCAUUUUGGUGUGAAACCAGCAGAAGGAGGAAGUCCACGACUUAAACGCAUACGAGCCUGAGAGCCAGUUGUGAAAGGUGGAGAUGUGAACGGGAGCAUCGGGAACUACCAGUUCCUUCAUUCCCUGAACUCAUUUUUAUGGAGUACCUACUACAUACAAGACACAGUCUGGAGUUGAUUUCCCGUGGCUCUCAAGGAUUAAGCCAGAAGAUUCCAUUGGACCUCUGACCUCUUUCCUGCCCACCUGGAGGAAUUUGAGGGGUCCCAGAGCAGAGCAGAUCUAGGAUGCUUCUGAAGACCGACAUAGCUUCAUCAGGAGGAGCUGAGACACCAUAAUUUGGGAAAUGUGAAUCUUUUGCCCAUCUAUUCAGAACUCGUGAAGACAGAGAUGAGCCUUCUGCUUCCAGUGAUCAUGGGGCCCCCAGAUGAAGCCAGCCUCAGGAUAAUAAACCAGAGGGGGCAUGGAAGCUGAAGAAAUGCCCUUUCCCGUUCACCUGAAAUGUAAGCCAUUGGAAAGAGCAGUGUCUGGGAAUGACUAGACCCGUAUUUGUGUCCCACUUCUGUCACCUGGGAGCCUCAGGCAAGUGUCUCAGCCUCUCUGCUGCAGCUGGUCCUGGGUCAGUUGAAGUCCGUACACUAUGACCUCCCCCAGGGUGGGAAAUAUAGCUUGUUUAUAGUGCUUGA
Long non-coding RNA from Felis catus (domestic cat), 1102 nucleotides. RefSeq lists it as uncharacterized. The record is from RefSeq and is a predicted model, not a curated record. The transcript is spliced from 6 exons. Lineage: Eukaryota; Metazoa; Chordata; Mammalia; Carnivora; Felidae.